This 302-nucleotide long non-coding RNA is filed under the name Danio rerio (zebrafish). RNAcentral describes it as "lncRNA si:dkey-2j6.5 (ENSDARG00000102227.2)". The record is from RNAcentral. Lineage: Eukaryota; Metazoa; Chordata; Actinopteri; Cypriniformes; Danionidae.
CAGGAAGUGGUGCAGCUGGUGAUAAAACUCUCUUCAUCGCGUCUACCAGCUCCUGAAUUGGAUCGGGGUCGCUCAUGCUGUUAACUUUAUUGGUCCGGGCUUCUGUUAGGAAACGGACGGACAAACAGGUAUGGAUGAUGAUAUUGAUGCUGACCGAAUACACACACCAGAUGAGUAGGGGAUGAGACAGAAUGAUGGAGCACCCACUAGAUGAGUUGCGGAGACGACAACGAUGAAACACACACCUCCAACUGGACACGGGGCUGACUGGACAAACUGGAGAUAAAACAGAGAAUAGGUAA